Pan troglodytes (chimpanzee) is the source of this 1685-nucleotide RNA transcript. It is a transcript of the gene named serotransferrin, with no coding region annotated. NCBI's taxonomy places the organism in Eukaryota, Metazoa, Chordata, Mammalia, Primates, Hominidae. The transcript is spliced from 8 exons. The record is from RefSeq and is a predicted model, not a curated record.
AGAACGGGAACCGACUUUCGCGCCAACCGCGCGGCCGCGCUUGCCUUUUCCGGUGGAAGUGACGCCAUCGGCAGCUGCAGCAGAAGAGCGGAAAUGUCAAAAUUGGAGUUUUGGAGGUCAGAAGUCUGAAGUGGAUCUCACUGGGCUUAAAUCAAGAUGUCAGCAGGGCUGAGUUCCUUUCUGGAGGCUCUGCUUCUACAUUUAAAGAACCCUUGUGAGGAUAUUGGCCCACCUGGAUAAUCAAGCAAUACAUUUCUCAAUAAACCAUACCAGCAACAGAUAGAAAAUAAAGUUAAAAUUAUAUCCACAGCAGCACUAUCCUUAAGAGCCCAACUGAAGACUGCAACGAUCAAGAGGAAAGACAAAAUGUGCUGCAUACACAGUGUAGAAUGUGCAACGCUGAGAAUGAAUAAAGGGCAACUAUACACAACGUAGGUGAAUCUCACACAUAGCAUCUCCAGUGAAAGAGGUCAAACACAAAAUUGGCUGUGCCUGGCUGCUCCUGAGAAAACUGGAAGAUGGUGUGCCAUGUCAGAUCACGAGGCCACGAAGUGCACCAGUUUCCGAGACAAUACGAAAAAAGUGUUUCCAGCAGAUGGUCCCCUUGUCACCUGCGUGGAGAGAGCGUCUUCCCUUGAGUACAUUAAGGCUAUCACAGAACAUUUUGGAAAAGACAAGUCGUCAGAAUUUCAGCUCUUUGGCUCUCCUCAUGAGACAGAUCUGCUGUUUACUGAUGCUGCCCAUGGGUUUUUAAUGGUCCCACCUAAGAUGGAUGCCAAGCUGUACCUGGGAUAUGAGUAUUUUUCCGCGACUCAGGAUCCAAAAAGAGUCACUCCAGGAGGGGUUCCACUGCCACCAUUUAACUGAAGAAAAAUUUAGGCUCCUAGAUGAUAAGGACGUGUCUGAGGUCACCUAAGAAGGACAAGACAGACCUUCCACCUGCCAUGUUGACUCCCAACUUCUCCAAGUUUGAAUUUGUAGAGACCUGAUCUACAACCCAGAGAAAAGGCUAUUAUGUCAUGGCUGUGGUUAAGAAAUCAGAUGCUGAUGUCACCUGGAACUCUCUUUGAGGCAAGAAGUCCUGCCACACUGCAGUUGGCACUUCUGCAAGCUGGAACAUCCCCAUGGGCUUAAUAUACAAUCAAACCGGGUCCUGUAAAUGUGAUGAUUUCUUCAGUCACAGUUGUGCCCCUGGGUCUAGUCCGGAUUCCCCUCUCUGUGCUCUGUGUGGUGGCAGGUGCAAUCCUGCCCACACAUGGGCUUACAACAGCCAGGAGAGAUACUACGGCUCCAGUGGGGCUUUCAGGCAAGUAAUGUCUGUGCACCACCUUUAUCUUUGCACCAAGCCAGUACAUUUCUUGUCCUGUCACUUCUUCCAUCAUCCCAGCAUCUGGCUGCUGCAUUUGGAAGGAGCCAGAAUCUAGGAAACAGAACUACUGCAAACUUUGAAUGGCUCCAAUGACUCAAGUCCAGCUCUUCUCUAGGGCACUCUCCUGCAGACCCAGAUGAUUUAGGGCACCUUAGGGCACCUAGGGAGAAGCAAGAAUGAUGGCGGCAGAGUCACAACUCUAGUUCUACUUUUGCCACUUUCUUCUGUGUGACUGUGGACAAGUCAAGAAUCCAUCAGAGCCUUGGUUUAAAAUCACAGGGGGGACACCAGACACCUCACUUCUUACACUUGGCUG